Pistacia vera is the source of this 1286-nucleotide long non-coding RNA. RefSeq lists it as uncharacterized. The transcript has 3 exons. NCBI's taxonomy places the organism in Eukaryota, Viridiplantae, Streptophyta, Magnoliopsida, Sapindales, Anacardiaceae. The record is from RefSeq and is a predicted model, not a curated record.
CUGCUUGGGACCUAUUUAAGAAAUUUUGUCUUCAUGGAAACUAGUGCCAAACGUUGUAACAUAUAGAUUUUGAUCAAUGGGCUGUGCAAAAUUGGACAACUAGAAAAGGCAAAUGAGUUGUUGUCAUAUAUGGAGGAAAAGGUUGUGCUCCAAAUGUAGUCACGUUUAUACGCUUAUCUUUGGUUUCCUCAAAAAUAAUGAGAUACCAAAAGUUGUUGAACUCCUUCAUAAGAUGGCGGAGAGAAAUAUGAGGCUGACUGAAUGUUCAUGUCUAGUAUGCAGUUACUAAUGAAGGCCGAAAAUUAUCGUGAAUGUUUGAAUCAGCUUCCGAUUCCAGUCAAAAGCGAAGUUGAAGUUUUCAUGGCAGCAAUUUAGUUCAUCCAGCUUCUCAAAUGCUUUGUUUUGGUUACGGUAAGAAAAGGUUUAGUAUACACCUUUGUUUGUUCGAAAUAUUUGCUCAUGAUGUCUUCUGGGCUGGUGAAUUCUUUACGGAACUGCUUCAGCAAUUUACUAGCAUGGACUGAUUGUAGACCCUGAAAAAUUGGAAACGUGGGAUAAAGUGAUUAUCAAUUUGUACGUCCUCCAAGGCUCACAGAAUGGUAAUGACCAGAGUGGGACAAGACAUGGUUAUCAGGAAUGGGGAGUUCCAACAUUCAAGAUAUGUGUCGAUUUCAGAAAUCAUUCUAUUAAUGUGUAUACUCUUGUUUUGAUGUCAAUCUAACGGUUUUUGAUGAACAGGUAUGCUAAUCAAUCAAGUCUGGUACCAGGAGUUCCACUAGUACUCUUGAAAAGUAUUGCAAAGCGGUUAUAUGAUGUGAGAAAAUACACCUCAAAGUGCUUAUGUGAUCCUUUCCAAUUGUUUGCGAUUGGGAUCUCCGGUUGAUCCGAAAAAGCUCCUCCCGCUUGCAAACGGGGCUAGUGGAGUCGCCAUUGAUGUGCAUUACUACAACCUCUUCUCAGACACGUUUAACAACUUUGACGUGCAGCAGAACAUCGAUUUAGAAUUUUCUUAUGGAUGAAAUUUGAAUUACGUGCUUGGACACUAGUUCAUGUACACGUGCUUCUGCUUUUGAUGCCAGAAACUCCAGUAGGCAGUGAAAGAAGGCAGCUUCUCUAAAAAGUCAACUGUCGUUUUACCUUAUGGAUUAUGCAGGUUAAAUUCAAUUGUGUUUACUCUGUUAUCUAUACGAUUUCAGGAUGUAUAAGUAUAUUAAAGGAGCUAUAUCCCACACCAAUCCACCGCUAUGACCCCUUAAGUAAAUUAUGGGUAAAGGUAUUACUUUUGU